UUGUGUGAGUGGAUGGAAUGCAUCUGCAUUAGAUGAAAAGCAGAUUAAAUAAGUCCUUGUACCCAGUACCGGCAUCAAAAUAAGACCCAGUACAUAGUACAGUACCAGUCCCAAGAUGAUUCCGGAUGAUUUCCAGACUCCACUGAAGGGGACAAGAACACAGCAUAGCUUCUUUCUCAACAUUUAAUUUGCCAAGACACACAUGGAAUAUCAUAUGCCACUUGCUAAUUAGAGUAGUGUGAAUUAGCUGUGUUAUACAAUGAUUUUUAAAGACCUGAAAUGCCGUACAGUACAGAGUAUUCUGGUGGGUGAUGCAAACUGUAUUUUUGUCACAGUCGUUGUAACAUGUUACUAACUGGUACACAGAAGAUAUGUACUCUCAUCAGUGCUCUCCUGUAAACCCACUGCUUUGGAAAAUGGAGGGGUGGGGAUAGCUCAAAGUUCACUGUUGCUUCCUUUGAAUCCAGGAAGGGGAAUACACAACCUUCCUAUUACAAAAGAUGAAAGGACCUCUUUUAAUGGAUUCUUCCUUUUUUGGGUCAGCCUAAGACUUUUCCGAUUUUAAGAAGUUAUUUAAUGCAGCUGUGUUUUGUCAAUCAAGCCUGAAGUACUUGUUGAACUGCACUGGAAAAGUAUGCAACAAUAAAGGCAAAGAGGUCUGGAAAUCAGUUGAUCCGAGAAAGCUGAUUUUUUAUUUGUUUAGCAGUUUCCGUGAAUAUUAGGUUUCCGAGGAGGGGAUUAGGCAUGCUUCUUCCUAGGUAAUGAGGCA
Molecule: long non-coding RNA, 769 nt
Organism: Polyodon spathula (Mississippi paddlefish)
Lineage: Eukaryota; Metazoa; Chordata; Actinopteri; Acipenseriformes; Polyodontidae
Exons: 3
Source: RefSeq, a predicted model, not a curated record